This 342-nucleotide unclassified non-coding RNA is filed under the name soil metagenome. Its description in RNAcentral is "partial contains 5.8S ribosomal RNA, internal transcribed spacer 2, and large subunit ribosomal RNA". The stretch from base 1 to 120 matches the Rfam family "5.8S ribosomal RNA", at positions 35 to 154 of the family's 154-position model. The record is from RNAcentral.
GAUGAAGAACGUAGCGAAAUGCGAUAAGUAAUGUGAAUUGCAGAAUUCAGUGAAUCCUCGAAUCUUUGAACGCACAUUGCGCCCGCCAGCACUCUGGCGGGCAUGCCUGUUCGAGCGUCAUUUCAACCAUCAAGCCCCCAGGGGCUUGUGCUGGGGCCCUGCGGCUGCCCGCAGGCCCUGAAAACCAGUGGCGGGCUCGCUAGUCACACCGAGCGCAGUAGCACAUCUCGCUCAGGGCGUGCGGCGGGCUCCUGCCGUGAAACCCCCCACUGUAACCCCAAAGGUUGACCUCGGAUCAGGUAGGAAUACCCGCUGAACUUAAGCAUAUCAAUAAGCGGAGGA